ACGUGGGUGAUCUGCCCUGCACUUUGGGAUAAGCCUGGGAAACUGGGUCUAAUACCGAAUACACCCUGCUGGUCGCAUGGACCUGGUGGGGAAGCUUUUGUCGGUGUGGGAGUGGGCCCGGCCGGCCUAUCAGCUUGUUGGUGGGGUGGAUGGCCUACCAAGGCGACGACGGGUAGCCGGCCUGAGAGGGUGUCCGGCCACACUGGGACUGAGAUACGGCCCAGACUCCUACGGGAGGCAGCAGUGGGGAAUAUUGCACAAUGGGCGCAAGCCUGAUGCAGCGACGCCGCGUGGGGGAUG
This 300-nucleotide ribosomal RNA is filed under the name uncultured Mycobacterium sp. Its description in RNAcentral is "bacterial SSU rRNA". It matches the Rfam family "Bacterial small subunit ribosomal RNA", at positions 115 to 410 of the family's 1533-position model. The record is from RNAcentral. Lineage: Bacteria; Bacillati; Actinomycetota; Actinomycetes; Mycobacteriales; Mycobacteriaceae.